Molecule: long non-coding RNA, 368 nt
Organism: Ailuropoda melanoleuca (giant panda)
Lineage: Eukaryota; Metazoa; Chordata; Mammalia; Carnivora; Ursidae
Exons: 3
Source: RefSeq, a predicted model, not a curated record
UGGCCUUUUCUAACAAGAUCUCUCCUCUCUCUCCUCUAGUCAGCCUUGUCCAAAUAUGAUGCCACCAAACAAAAGAGGAAAUUCUCUUCCUUUUUUAAGUCCUUGGUGAUCGAACUGGACAAAGACCUGUAUGGGCCAGACAACCAUCUGGUAGAAUGGCACAGGACCGCCACUACCCAGGAGACGGAUGGCUUCCAGGUGAAGCGGCCAGGAGACGUGAAUGUACGGUGUACUGUCCUCCUGAUGCUGGACUACCAGCCUCCCCAGUUUAAAUUAGAUCCUCGCCUGGCUCGGCUCCUGGGCAUCCACACCCAGACCCGUCCAGUGAUCAUCCAAGCACUGUGGCAGUAUAUUAAGACACAUAAGCU